This is a long non-coding RNA of Alexandromys fortis (reed vole), 462 nucleotides long. RefSeq lists it as uncharacterized. The transcript has 5 exons. NCBI's taxonomy places the organism in Eukaryota, Metazoa, Chordata, Mammalia, Rodentia, Cricetidae. The record is from RefSeq and is a predicted model, not a curated record.
CUCAUUUGUUGGAACUUCUGAGGAUUUCUCUUCCCCACUGUUCUCAUGACAGACUUGACAGCCAUUCGGCUCUGUGACCCAUAAUGAGCACAGUACAGCUCAGCUGAGGAACUCACCAUUUGAGAACAGUGAAAUUCAACUCAGGAAUAAGGAAGGCUCAGAUAACAGAAGGAUCCAAAUGCGUCCACUCAAGGUCUUAAUGAGUUAACGCUGAUUGCUAACUUGACAGCAUCCGAAGUCACCUAGGAGACAAUCUCUGGAACUGUCUGUGAGGGAGUUGGAGACUGGAUUAACUGAGGUUGCUUUUGGUCAUGGUGUCUCAUCACAGCCAACCCUGACUAAGACAGUCUCAGUUAUGUAUAAAAAAAAUUGGUCUCUUGCCAACCCUAAAAUGGGUGGGACUGAUCUAAUGGGAGAUCACCAAGGCCAGUUGGACUGGAACUGAUGGAGCAUAUGAUCAAA